UACGUAGGGGGCUAGCGUUGUCCGGAAUCAUUGGGCGUAAAGAGCGUGUAGGCGGUCCGGUAAGUCCGUUGUGAAAGUCAGGGGCUCAACCCUUGAAUGCCGGCGGAUACUGUCGGGCUAGAGUCCGGAAGAGGCAAGUGGAAUUCCUGGUGUAGCGGUGAAAUGCGCAGAUAUCAGGAGGAACACCAAUUGCGAAGGCAGCUCGCUGGGACGUUACUGACGCUGAGACGCGAAAGCGUGGGGAGCAAACAGG
RNAcentral lists this ribosomal RNA (253 nucleotides) under uncultured bacterium. RNAcentral describes it as "partial 16S ribosomal RNA". It matches the Rfam family "Bacterial small subunit ribosomal RNA", at positions 524 to 776 of the family's 1533-position model. The record is from RNAcentral.